This 496-nucleotide ribosomal RNA is filed under the name uncultured bacterium. RNAcentral describes it as "partial 16S ribosomal RNA". It matches the Rfam family "Bacterial small subunit ribosomal RNA", at positions 28 to 507 of the family's 1533-position model. The record is from RNAcentral.
GACGAACGCUGGCGGCGUGCCUAAUACAUGCAAGUUGAGCGCUGAAGGUUGGUACUUGUACCAACUGGAUGAGCAGCGAACGGGUGAGUAACGCGUGGGGAAUCUGCCUUUGAGCGGGGGACACCAUGUGGAAACGAAUGCUAAUACCGCAUAAAAACUUUAAACACAAGUUUUAAGUUUGAAAGAUGCAAUUGCAUCACUCAAAGAUGAUCCCGCGUUGUAUUAGCUAGUUGGUGAGGUAAAGGCUCACCAAGGCGAUGAUACAUAGCCGACCUGAGAGGGUGAUCGGCCACAUUGGGACUGAGACACGGCCCAAACUCCUACGGGAGGCAGCAGUAGGGAAUCUUGGCAAUGGACGAAAGUCUGAACGAGCAACGCCGCGUGAGUGAAGAAGGUUUUCGGAUCGUAAAACUCUGUUGGUAGAGAAAAACGUUGGUGGGAGUGGAAAGCUCACCAAGUGACGGUAACUACCCAGAAAGGCACGGCUAACUACGUG